Molecule: transfer RNA, 86 nt
Rfam family: tRNA
About the family: Transfer RNA (tRNA) molecules are approximately 80 nucleotides in length. Their secondary structure includes four short double-helical elements and three loops (D, anti-codon, and T loops).
Source: Rfam
GGAGAGAUGGUCGAGUUGGUUUAAGGCACCGGUCUUGAAAACCGGCGAGGGUAACACCUCCCUGGGUUCGAAUCCCAGUCUCUCCG